RNAcentral lists this ribosomal RNA (1326 nucleotides) under Triticum aestivum (bread wheat). RNAcentral describes it as "partial small subunit ribosomal RNA". Lineage: Eukaryota; Viridiplantae; Streptophyta; Magnoliopsida; Poales; Poaceae. The record is from RNAcentral.
AUGGAGAAAUGCCUUUUUGGUGUUGAUAAGCUCGUUUUCUUGGGUUUUGUGGUCUCUUCUAAGGGUGUCCAUGUAGAUCAGUCCAAGAUCAAUGCUAUUACGACUUGGCCGCAACCAACCAACUUGCAUCAAGUGCAUAGUUUUCUUGGUCUUGCGGGUUUCUAUCGUCGCUUUGUGAAGGAUUUUAGCACCAUUGUUUCGCCUUUGCAUGCUUUGAGCAAGAAGAAUGCGACGUUUAUUUGGGGACCAUCCCAAGAUACCGCAUUCAAUGAGAUUAAGAAUUUGCUUACUCAUGCUUACGUGCUUGCUUUACCAAACUUCGACAAGCCUUUUGAGAUUCAUUGCGAUGCUAGCGGUAAUGGCAUAGGAGGUGUGUUAACGCAAGAGAAGCGCCCCAUAGCUUACUUUAGUGAGAAACUUUACGGAGCGCAACUCAACUAUCCCAUCUAUGACAAAGAGCUAUAUGCUUUAGUCCGCGUUUUACAUGAAUGGGAACAUUACCUUCGUCCCCAUGAGUUUAUCAUUCAUACCGAUCAUGAGAAUCUCAAGUAUCUCAAGGGUCAAACUAAGUUGAACAAGCGUCAUGCUAAAUGGAGUGAAUUCAUUGAGUCUUUUCCCUAUGUCAUCAAGUACAUCAAGGGUAAAGAAAACAUCGUAGCGGAUGCACUUUCCCACAUAUGCAUGCUAGUCACGCAACUUGAGUUAGAUGUCAUUGGCUUCGAGCAUAUCAAAGAAUUGUAUGCGCAUGAUGAAACUUUUGCCACUCCUUAUGCCAAGUGUUUGUCGCAUACAUCGUGGGAACGCUAUUACAUCAAAGACGGCUACCUUAUGAGAGCUAACAAACUUUGCAUCCCCAAGUCGUCCCUUCGUUUAUUGCUUUUGCAGGAAUCGCAUGGAGGAGGAUUAAUGAGACACUUUGGAUGCGAUAAGACGUUCGCCACGCUCUCGAAGAGCUACUUUUGGCCAAAGAUGUUUCGGGACGUCAAUCGCUUCACCAACCGAUGUUCGACAUGCCGCAAAGCUAAGUCCAAAGCUCAAUCUCAUGGCCUCUAUAUGCCUCUACCGAUUCCAUACCAACCUUGGGAAGACAUUAGCAUGGACUUUGUACUUGGUUUUCCUAGAACUCGCAAUGGGAAAGAUUCCAUAUUUGUAGUUGUGGACCGUUUCUCAAAAAUGGCACAUUUUAUUCCUUGUCACAAGAUAGACGAUGCUUCACAUGUUGCUAAUCUCUUUUGUAGGGAAAUAUUGCGUCUACAUGGUGUGCGAAAGACAAUUGUCUCGGACUGCGACAUCAAGUUCCAUAGCUACUUUUGGAAGACCCUAUGA